AGAGUUGAUCCUGGCUUAGGACGAACGCUGGCGGCGUGCCUAACACAUGCAAGUCGAGCGAGGAGAUCCUCGGGAUGAUCCUAGCGGCGGACGGGUGAGUAACACGUGGGCAACCUGCCUCAUAGAGAGGAAUAGCCUUCCGAAAGGGAGAUUAAUACCUCAUAACAUUGCAGUUUCGCAUGGAACAGCAAUUAAAGGAGCAAUCCGCUAUGAGAUGGGCCCGCGGCGCAUUAGCUAGUUGGUGAGGUAACGGCUCACCAAGGCGACGAUGCGUAGCCGACCUGAGAGGGUGAUCGGCCACAUUGGGACUGAGACACGGCCCAGACUCCUACGGGAGGCAGCAGUGGGGAAUAUUGCACAAUGGGGGAAACCCUGAUGCAAGCAACGCCGCGUGAGUGAUGACGGCCUUCGGGUUGUAAAGCUCUGUCUUCAGGGACGAUAAUGACGGUACCUGAGGAGGAAGCCACGGCUAACUACGUGCCAGCCGCUGC
This 491-nucleotide ribosomal RNA is filed under the name uncultured bacterium. RNAcentral's name for it is "bacterial SSU rRNA". It matches the Rfam family "Bacterial small subunit ribosomal RNA", at positions 8 to 518 of the family's 1533-position model. The record is from RNAcentral.